This 435-nucleotide ribosomal RNA is filed under the name uncultured bacterium. RNAcentral's name for it is "partial 16S ribosomal RNA". It matches the Rfam family "Bacterial small subunit ribosomal RNA", at positions 29 to 507 of the family's 1533-position model. The record is from RNAcentral.
AGCGAACGCUGGCGGCAGGCUUAACACAUGCAAGUCGAACGGGCUUCUUCGGAAGUCAGUGGCAGACGGGUGAGUAACACGUGGGAACGUGCCCUUCGGUUCGGAAUAACUCAGGGAAACUUGAGCUAAUACCGGAUACGCCCUUUUGGGGAAAGGUUGACUGCCGAAGGAUCGGCCUGCGUCUGAUUUGCUUGUUGGUGGGGUAACGGCCUACCAAGGCGACGAUCAGUAGCUGGUCUGAGAGGAUGAUCAGCCACACUGGGACUGAGACACGGCCCAGACUCCUACGGGAGGCAGCAGUGGGGAAUAUUGGACAAUGGGCGCAAGCCUGAUCCAGCCAUGCCGCGUGAGUGAUGAAGGCCUUAGGGUUGUAAAGCUCUUUUGUCCGGGACGAUAAUGACGGUACCGGAAGAAUAAGCCCCGGCUAACUUCGUG